Molecule: unclassified non-coding RNA, 440 nt
Filed under: Hevea brasiliensis (rubber tree)
Lineage: Eukaryota; Viridiplantae; Streptophyta; Magnoliopsida; Malpighiales; Euphorbiaceae
Source: RNAcentral
GGAUGAAUGCGCACAGAAUCACACACUGGCACGGAUGGAGGGACUACUAGGUUGUUUGCCUAUGGCAAAAAGAUUUAGUGAAGAUGUGGCAGAAGGGAAUUAAAUUUUAGUUUUCAGUCCAUAAAAAUUGUGACCGACAUACAGGGAAGGGAAGUCAAAAUCAAACUACUAGUGAAAUUCUGUGAAUGCCAAAUAAAGAUGGCACAUUGGCUUGUAUAAAUGAAUUCUUAUGAGAAAUUUAGGAGUUUAUGCAAAUGCAAUGAAUUCAAACCUUUUCCUAUUUGUCUGUUCUUUUGGUGAUUUUUUAGCGGCAAACUCCUCCAUUAUUUGUGGUGUUCAUUUCUCUUUUUUCACUUGCCAAUGAUGUUCAAUUGCAGAUGGACUAAUUUUAUUGUUUUUGUAUGCAGAUAAAGUCAGUGCAGGAACUGAGUGGACAGGUU